Molecule: ribosomal RNA, 465 nt
Filed under: uncultured Klebsiella sp.
Lineage: Bacteria; Pseudomonadati; Pseudomonadota; Gammaproteobacteria; Enterobacterales; Enterobacteriaceae
Description: bacterial SSU rRNA
Rfam family: Bacterial small subunit ribosomal RNA
Source: RNAcentral
CCUACGGGGGGCUGCAGUGGGGAAUAUUGCACAAUGGGCGCAAGCCUGAUGCAGCCAUGCCGCGUGUGUGAAGAAGGCCUUCGGGUUGUAAAGCACUUUCAGCGGGGAGGAAGGCGGUGAGGUUAAUAACCUCAUCGAUUGACGUUACCCGCAGAAGAAGCACCGGCUAACUCCGUGCCAGCAGCCGCGGUAAUACGGAGGGUGCAAGCGUUAAUCGGAAUUACUGGGCGUAAAGCGCACGCAGGCGGUCUGUCAAGUCGGAUGUGAAAUCCCCGGGCUCAACCUGGGAACUGCAUUCGAAACUGGCAGGCUAGAGUCUUGAAGAGGGGGGUAGAAUUCCAGGUGUAGCGGUGAAAUGCGUAGAGAUCUGGAGGAAUACCGGUGGCGAAGGCGACCCCCUGGACAAAGACUGACGCUCAGGUGCGAAAGCGUGGGGAGCAAACAGGAUUAGAUACCCGGGUAGUC